Molecule: ribosomal RNA, 394 nt
Filed under: uncultured bacterium
Lineage: Bacteria
Description: partial 16S ribosomal RNA
Rfam family: Bacterial small subunit ribosomal RNA
Source: RNAcentral
AUACGUAGGGGACGAGCGUUGUCCGGAAUUACUGGGCGUAAAGGGCGCGCAGGCGGAUAUUUAAGUCAGCUGUAAAAGGCAUGAGCUCAACUCAUGUAUGCGGUUGAAACUGGGUAUCUAGAGUGCUGGAGAGGUAGGCGGAAUGCCCGGUGUAGCGGUGAAAUGCGUAGAUAUCGGGAAGAACACCAGUGGCGAAGGCGGCUUACUGGCCAGCAACUGACGCUGAGGCGCGAAAGCCAGGGGAGCGAACGGGAUUAGAUACCCCGGUAGUCCUGGCCGUAAACGAUGAAUGCUAGGUGUGGGUGUCGAGAGGCAUCCGUGCCGGAGUUAACGCGAUAAGCAUUCCGCCUGGGGAGUACGAUCGCAAGAUUGAAACUCAAAUGAAUUGGCGGGG